UGAGGGCCCCUCUGCGUGUUCACAGCGGACCUUGAUUUAAUGUCUAUACAAUUAAGGCACGCGGUGAAUGCCAAGAGAGGCGCCUCC
Molecule: microRNA precursor, 87 nt
Organism: Microcebus murinus (gray mouse lemur)
Lineage: Eukaryota; Metazoa; Chordata; Mammalia; Primates; Cheirogaleidae
Gene: MIR124-3
Product: microRNA 124-3
Source: Ensembl